Molecule: unclassified non-coding RNA, 1893 nt
Filed under: Neodiprion pinetum (white pine sawfly)
Lineage: Eukaryota; Metazoa; Arthropoda; Insecta; Hymenoptera; Diprionidae
Description: axoneme-associated protein mst101(2)-like, transcript variant X1
Source: RNAcentral
CGGAAGAACACGACUUCAAAAUUCAACACCGCCACGCACGGCAUGUUACAUACCCUGCGCGGUUUUCUUGUUCGCCCUCGACUGUGUGUUUCGCCUUGUAGGUGUAAUAUACAUGCAUACACGUGGAAUAAAUCCCUUUCCCUUCCCUGCCUACUUUCCCGUUGGUUUGGUACUGCAGCGCUGACGAGCGCUGUAGCGAGUGAGUGCCAGACGCGAGUGUCAAUCACCAACCUGGGCCAACUGGUUCGAAUCGGUGAAUAUUUGGCUAGAUUUCGGUACCUCACUCGACACUCCAUCAUCGGGGAAGUAUUGUGAGAAAACGCGAUUAAAAAAAUAAAAAAAACACAGAAUCACCAAAAGGGAUUUUUGAAAAAUCACAAACGUAAAUUUAACGCGAAAAGACUAGUAUUAACCUCUAGCAUCGACAAUGGACGUGGAUGCGUUGUUGCAACAUUCCCAGUACGCGAUACCUAUCGGCAUUGUGUUGGCGUGCGCCAUUCUAGUGUUUGUAUUCGGUUUUAAAAAUGCGGAGCAGCCACCGUUUGCCCAGCUCACGUCGGGUUCCGACGUGGACCGGAAGCCAGCUGGCAAAAAGCGCAACAAGAUCAAAGAAAAGAGUCGUACUACCAAUGUACAGUUGACUACAGAAAAAUCAAGUCCUGCUAAGAAAGUAGUACCUGUCAAAGCAGAGGCUGUUAAAAAAAAUGCUUCAAAAAGUGAAGAGGUAGGCAGGGAACUCAAGGAGCGCAAACAUGAAGACAACAAGCCAGUUGUUGCUAGGAAAGAAAAGGCUGUCAACACUUUAAAAUCUGGAAAAGAAAACAAGGGAGAGUUAGUAAAGAAUCGAAAAAAUUUAAAGAAUCUUUCUCAGGAAAAGCCAGUUGACUUUGAUGAUGGAAAUUGGGAACCGGUUUCGAGAAAGGACAAAAAGAACAAGAAAAAAGAUGAAGAUACCCCAUCCAAGAAAAUUAAAAAGGAAGGAAAAAAGGCUGCAGAGCUGAUUACCAACGUAACUAAAAAGGAAAAGGAACAGCCGGAAAUUAAAGAUAAAGUGGCCAAGGAUACAGAAAAUAAAGAACUAAAAGAAAAAGAUAAGCAAGAAGUUGUUCUUAUACCAGUUACUGAUGUUGAACCAGCGAUUGAAACUCACGAAAACAAAGAGAAAGCCGAUGAGUUAGAAAAGAUUGAGAAGCCGAAGAAGCCCGAGAAACUCGAAAAAGUACAGAAAUCAGAAAAGAUAGAGAAAUCUGAGAAGCCUGAAGAAAAAAAGAGUAGUAGUAAGGCUAAAAAGGUAAAGAAGGAUAUUGGGAAUGAAAACGCACUAUCAGCUGAUGUAUCCUCUUCUGAAAAACCAGAAAAAAUUAUAGAAAAAUUAGAACAAGAAAAGAAGACAAAAACUGAAACAGCAGAGGAAAAGAAGGUUGAAAAAAUUGAAGAAAACAACAAAGUGGUUUUUGACGAGUUGGGAGAUGUGUGGACUGAGGCCAAGCCACAAAAGAAAAGCAAGAAGAAGGCUCGUAAGGACAACUGAGAAGAACAGGGCCAAAGUAUAACAGCAUUCUCUAUAGCAAAAUUAACAAUGAGAGCUGUUGCACAGCCGUGUUAUUAGGUUGGAAUGAGCAGAUCUGAUUUUAUACUCUGGACAACGCUCAAGCAGUCUUCUAAACUCCUCUUGCGAAUUGCAGGUUGCUUUGCUCAAAUCUGGUAUCAGAUUGGCAUCUUUCUUAUCAUCUCUAAGAAGAUCGUCAAGCUGGAAAGCCAUUACAACUAGGCUAUACUCUGUAAUAUAAGAAAAGACACAUUUGCUGUUAUGGAAAUGUUCUUUUCCUUUCAUUUUGCUUCCUUAAACAAAAAUUUUACUACUGUAAUGGAAAUAAACAUAAUGGUUUAGAA